Molecule: long non-coding RNA, 209 nt
Filed under: Lathyrus oleraceus (garden pea)
Lineage: Eukaryota; Viridiplantae; Streptophyta; Magnoliopsida; Fabales; Fabaceae
Description: Pisum sativum (pea) long non-coding RNA (PSAT_LNC013782)
Source: RNAcentral
GAAAUCUGAGCCUGGAUUUGAACUCAGAAGGGUCGUUUUGGUUAAGGUAGGGUUUCGUGGGGUUGAACCACCGCGAGGUUGAGGCGGCGCCGUCGCAGACGACCGCCCGCCACUCUCUUCUCCGAAAGGGUCGUUUUGGUUAAGGUAGGGUUUCGUGGGGUUGAACCACCGCGAGGUUGAGGCGGCGCCGUCGCAGACGACCGCCCGCC